Onychostoma macrolepis is the source of this 1296-nucleotide long non-coding RNA. RefSeq lists it as uncharacterized. The transcript has 3 exons. Lineage: Eukaryota; Metazoa; Chordata; Actinopteri; Cypriniformes; Cyprinidae. The record is from RefSeq and is a predicted model, not a curated record.
CUGAGUUCUCCUCUUCCUGGCAUUCCCCUUUCCGUUCCUGUUUGCGUUCAGUCUGAUUAGAGUGGGGCUGGUGGCAUCGGCAUUACGGCAAGUUUGUGGAGGAGUUCGCUUGCAUUAAUGGCGACAAAAGCGUGUGCGUGAGUGCUAACCGGUACAUUGAGUCACGACACUUGUUGGGAGUAACCAUAUAGCUUUGCAUUGGUCUUCGUUCAACCCUAACCGUAAGUGCGUUUUCUUUCUCUUUCCUGCAAAUGGGACUUAUUAGAUUUAGUUUAACACUUUGAUUUUAAUGUUAAAGGUAAAGGGGGGAAUGGAACAUCACAAUCUCUAAGUUGAUCCCUCGUUGAAGGUACUACAUGUGACGUCGUUGCUGUUUUGCUUAUGGGCAUUGUUUUGUUUUGUUGAUUACGGACCUUUGUACGUCAUUGCUUACGGCUUCGCUGUUUGGCGGGUCGUUUGGGCUUUGCUAGGCCAUCCAUCUGUUUUAUUUUGAUUUAGUUUUCCAGUAUAAGUGUCUGUUUUUUUUUUUGUUUUGUUUGCACAUUGCGCUGUGGGUUUCCUCUUUUGUAUUUUGGGUUCCUUUUACAACCGUGUUAAUUACUUUGUUAAUUUGUUAUUUUGUGCUAUUUUGGUUAUUUUGCAGUUUUAUAAUUGUUCAUUUAUAUUUUUGUUAUUUUGUGCCAUGUAUUGUUCUGGGUCAUUGUAGAGAGUUUACAACUUUUUUUCAUUUACUGUCUUGUAAUUCUGGUGCCAUUCAGGCACCAUCUGUUCCCGCUGCAUCUUGUGCCAUUAGGAGGCCGGAGUACUGGAGUCAUUACAUCCAGUGUCUGUAAACUUAGUCUGAUUGUUUUCAUUCUUUAUUAUUCUUUGUACUGUUCUUUUGUAAUUUGCUUCUGAUUUUCUUUCUCCAGGAGCCAAUGUGGACUCUGUGUGGAGCAGGGGAGUCUAGCUGCUUUCCUUCAGUGGGGUGUGCUCCACAGGGUGCCGUGUGUGUGUGGGUACGAUCUCCUUUACAGUGUGGGUGUGAGGGGUUUGAUGUGGUGUGAAUUUUGGUGGGUUCAGACGACCUCCCGAGUUGCAGCCAGCCUGCCCUGUUCCUGCUAAACCUGGCCCUGGAGAAUUAUCUUAAUCUCGUGGUGUGUUUCCCAGGAGAGAGAAUUUUAUUUAUGCUCUUAUAAUAAAGUGUAUUUUUGUACUGAUAAUCCCGUCUCACGACGAUUUUAUUUAUUUGCCUUCAAGUGGUAAAACGUACCUGUGUCCUUAUUGGGAGUAUUUCCCUAGCGCCCCACUAGGGUG